CCUACGGGUGGCAGCAGUGGGGAAUAUUGCACAAUGGGCGAAAGCCUGAUGCAGCAACGCCGCGUGAAGGAAGAAGGGUUUCGGCUCGUAAACUUCUAUCAACAGGGACGAAAGAAAUGACGGUACCGGAAUAAGAAGCCCCGGCUAACGACGGGCCAGCAGCCGCGGUAAUACGUAGGGGGCAAGCGUUAUCCGGAAUUACUGGGUGUAAAGGGUGAGUAGGCGGCAUGGUAAGCCAGAUGGGAAAGCCUUGGGCUUAACCCGAGGAUUGCAUUUGAAACUCUCAAGCUAGAGUACAGGAGAGGUAAGCGGCAUUCCUUGUGUAGCGGUGACAUGCGUAGAUAUUAGGAAGAACCCCCGUGGCGAAGGCGGCUUUCUGGACUGAAACUGACGCUGAGGCACGAAAGCGUGGGGAGCGAACAGGAUUAGAUACCCUUGUAGUC
Molecule: ribosomal RNA, 443 nt
Filed under: uncultured bacterium
Lineage: Bacteria
Description: partial 16S ribosomal RNA
Rfam family: Bacterial small subunit ribosomal RNA
Source: RNAcentral